GCGGCAGGCCUAUACAUGCAAGUCGAGGGGUAGAAUGGGGCUUGCUCCAUUUGAGACCGGCGCACGGGUGCGUAACGCGUAUGCAAUCUACCUUAAUCAGGGGGAUAGCCUCUCGAAAGAGAGAUUAAUACCGCAUAACAUUAUGAUAUGGCAUCAUAUUAUAAUCAAACAUUUAUGGGAUUAAGAUGAGCAUGCGUGACAUUAGCUAGUUGGUGAGGUAACGGCUCACCAAGGCAACGAUGUCUAGGGGAUCUGAGAGGAUGACCCCCCACACUGGUACUGAGACACGGACCAGACUCNUACGGGAGGCAGCAGUAAGGAAUAUUGGUCAAUGGGCGCAAGCCUGAACCAGCCAUGCCGCGUGCAGGAAGACGGCCCUAUGGGUUGUAAACUGCUUUUAUACGGGAAUAAACCUCGGUACGUGUACCGAGCUGAAUGUACCGUAAGAAUAAGGAUCGGCUAACUCCGUGCCAGCAGCCGCGGUAAUACGGAGGAUCCAAGCGUUAUCCGGAUUUAUUGGGUUUAAAGGGUGCGUAGGCGGCUUUUUAAGUCAGGGGUGAAAGACGGUGGCUCAACCAUCGCAGUGCCCUUGAUACUGAAGAGCUUGAAUACACUAGAGGUAGGCGGAAUGAGACAAGUAGCGGUGAAAUGCAUAGAUAUGUCUCAGAACACCAAUUGCGAAGGCAGCUUACUAUGGUGUUAUUGACGCUGAGGCACGAAAGCGUGGGGAUCAAACAGGGAUUAGAUACCCUGGUAGUCC
Molecule: ribosomal RNA, 760 nt
Filed under: uncultured Sphingobacteriaceae bacterium
Lineage: Bacteria; Pseudomonadati; Bacteroidota; Sphingobacteriia; Sphingobacteriales; Sphingobacteriaceae
Description: bacterial SSU rRNA
Rfam family: Bacterial small subunit ribosomal RNA
Source: RNAcentral